Molecule: long non-coding RNA, 3642 nt
Filed under: Homo sapiens (human)
Lineage: Eukaryota; Metazoa; Chordata; Mammalia; Primates; Hominidae
Description: HSALNT0405768
Source: RNAcentral
CUCUUUUUUGGUUACAUAUGAACUUAAAGUAGUUUUUUCCAAUUCUGUGAAGAAAGUCAUUGGUAGCGACAAUAAUAUCUUUUCUUUAGAUUAUCUGGAUUAUGAAAGCAAGCACUUUUUUCAUUAAAACAAUUAUGUACUAGGAAAAACUGUCAUAAUGGUAUUAAUGUUGGCAAUAUUGAUUAUGAAAUUCAGGGAUAAAUUGCUGCCUAUGGUCUGUGUCUUCAGUAUUGUAAGCCGCAGCCAUCAUGUAAUUUCAGAUUAAUACCAAUUUUGUUCCCUGAUAGAUGGAGCUUAAACAGUAUAUCCUGCUUUAAAUUUCUACCUCUAGCAGAUCUGUAUUGGAGGGAGUUUUCCUUUGUAUUUUUUAAUGUAUGUUAUUCUGUUUCCAGUAGCUUGGAAAGUAGAGAUGACUAAUGUUUUAGCCUUUUCUUGGAGAAAAGGAAGAACUCUUGUUGAAUAUUUUCACAGAUGAUUGUGAUUGCUUUAAAUAACCUCUGUGGCAAUUUAAAUUAGACGGAUUUAAUCUCAGUAACAUGCUGGUCGCAUAAAUGUCAUGUUUUAACAGGAAAACUUACUUGUAAAUCUUUAGACCUUUGUUGUCACUUAGGCUGGGGACUCACUACCCUAUUUGGCAUCUUACUAGUUGGGGGGACCUUUUCUGUGUACAGUGAUGGGACUUUUGUGCCCUUUACUCUCAUUAUGCAAUAGAGAGUUUGAUGCAGUUAAUUUGACAUGUCAAAACUGGGAAGUCUGUAACCUGUUUUUGUGUUUGUUUUUAUUUUUUUAAGAUUUCUCUUUUUCAUGUCCCUCAUUACUUAGCAGAUGUUCAUUUGGUGGGAAUUCUUAUUUACAUGAAUGCUUGAAUUUAGUGGCAAGGAAGAAAAGACUCAAAUUAUUGUUUUUAAAGAAAAAAACUUGCAAACUACGUAUUUUUAAGAAAUCAAUUGAACAGAAAGGAAUGCAUGAUGUUUUCUGAAUGGCUUAGAUGUGCUUUUUAUUCACUGACUAACAUUCACUUUUUUACAACUUGUAUCAAAAGAAAUGAUCUUUGUUUUUCUCACAGGCAAAAACACGUUGACACUGGUGGGUUGGCUUUAUUAAUUAAUCUUUUUCUAUCAGGUUUUCUUUAAUAAUGUUACAUUUCUAAAUUGUAGCACAUGUUUUAGUUAAUUCUGAAAUCGGUUACUUCAUUUGUUAAUUUAUCCCUCAUAUCAUGAAUAUUGUUUUUUAAAUGUUCUAUACAAAUUUGCCUCACUUUUUUUCUUACAGCUUUUGCAGUUAAUACAUUCUAAACUUGAAAAUGUGGUUAUCAGUCAGUAAUAGAAGUAUCCCUGGAGGAUUUCUUUAAUUUUGUAUUAAUUUUAGUCCUAGCUACUAAAGUAUGUAAGCCUUAAAGUUUAAAAUGUUUUUCUUAAAUUAGCUGUAUACACAAACAUUUUCAUAUACUUUGUGAAAUGGGAGGAGAUAGUCCAUUGUUCUUGUGGGUUUUUUUCUUUAAUUUCCGUAUUCUGAAGCAGUGCAGAUACAGGGUACGCUAAUCAGUGAGCAAGGUGGGGAAUGUGUACAAUAUAAGGAGAAGCUGUAUGAAUCUCAAUAUAAAAUUAUGAAGUUUGUUAACUGUAAAAUAUACUGUAUUUAUAUGUAACUGUCAUUCUAAAAGUUGCCAUAAAAGCUGAAUUGGAAGCUUCAUGUCUGCAUGAAAUUUCCUAUAUUUUUAAUGUGUAUGAUGAAAUUAAUUUUUCUUGAAUAUUAAAAUCUGCCAAUCGCUACAAAAAGAAUACUGAAAAUCUCAUUUCUAGUUUUAAUAUAUUUUUGCAGGAUAUUUACAUGGAUUUAAUAUUGAAAGCAUUUAUGUCUUGUCAAUAUCGCAUAAGAGACAGUUACUUAGAUGCAAUAAAAACUUUAUGUACGUGUACAUAAAAACAUAUACUUUCCUGCAUCUUUGUUAGUGAAUAAGAUUUUUAGAAGGGAUUUUAAUUAAGGUUUAAAUAAGAGCUGGGGACAUGUGGAAUGAGAAAUAGAAGGCUCAUCAAAGUAUAUGUGCGUAUGUAUUCUUAUAUUUGUGUGUGUCUACAGUAAUGCUAUCUGGAAACUAGUGCAAUGAAAAACAAAACACAGCAGGAGUGAACUGAGGCAAAUGUGGCUCAGAAAGGUCUCUUUUGACCUUUAAACCUGACAUUUCUUUGUGGAUAUCACACUGACUCAUCCAAUGUCACACGUUGAACCCAGCGAUGUCUUUUCUUCCUAUUGAAAACUAGCCUUCUCAUCCUGUUUUCUUUAAUCUAUCACACAAGCUGAAUUCUAUCCACCCUCACUGCCAUAGCGCUUACAGAUAUCACUGAUAUCAUCUCUCCUUUCUGUUCACAUUUUUACAGUCUCAUUAUUUAUGUUGCUAAGCAUUUUCUUACAACUGUUCGAAGCCUACAGGUUAAGAUGUGGGUGGAGAUAUACACUAAAGACUUACUUAUUAGAUCUAUAAUGCCAGGGAUGAGUUCAAUAUAACAAACCAGUGGAAUGAUUCUGCUUCUCUUCUGACUCACUCCUUAAAAUGUGUAUUGAACAAAGGUGAAGUAGAAAAGUUGUAUUAGCAUUGUUUUAUUUUGCAUGACUUAAAAUGUGCUUUUCUAAUUGAUAAUUUAUCUAGUGCUGCCUCAGACUUGAUAAUUGGGUUCAUCAACAGAGCCUUGAAAAGUUUGGGUAGAGACCACAAAAAUGUAGUAGCUAUGCAUGAAGAUUAGCUGAUAGUUUAUCCGUUAAGACUGCUUAUGGAUGUAAGCAAUGAAAAUCUAACUAACAGUAGCUAAGAGAAAUAGAGAUUUAUGUUUUCAUGUAGCAUAGAGUCUGGAGGUUGGCAGCCGACAACUCUGUGAUGCCAUCAGCAACCCUACUUUUCUCCAUUUCUUAAAAUGGAAGAUUCUUAGAGUGUUGCUUUUACCGUGUUGUUUUUCUCAUCAUGCCUCCAUCUGCCAUCAUAUCUCAUCUGCCAUCCAGAUAGGAACAAGGGAAAAGGACUAAGGAGGAAAAAGGCAAGGAGAUAUGUCAGCUGAUUGUCCUUUUCUGUCAGGUUAGCAGUGUCUUCCCCAAAGGCCCCAUCUAGCAGAUUUCUGACUAUGUCUCUAUGGCCAGAACACACCGUGGCACACAUUCAUUCUAAACUGGAAGAUGGUUAGGAAAAAGGAAGGUGUGGGGGUGUGAAACCACCUGCCAAAAGUGUCACAGUUGUGACCAGUUUAUUUCACAGUUUGAGAUGACAUGGUCAUAAAGACCUUUGUCACCUUCAGAAUGCAGCAAAGCAUGAGAGAGUAUUAGAAGGCCGCUGAGAAAGACAAACAAGUUUUAGGAUUACAGAAGUAUUCAACAACCAACCAUUGAAGGUGCAAGAACUGGGCCAUCCCAUGGGUCCACCAGGGCUUUGACAAGGCAGGUGCUGGGGCAGAGCACUCUGGCCAGGAAGCAAAAGAUGAAGGUUCCCAUCUUGGCCCCAGCCUGGAUCUGUGCCCAGUGAUAGUCAUCAGCCUGGAUCUGUGCCCAUUGCAUUGUGUGGACAUACCACGCCAUGUUUCUCCAUCACCUUUUGAGGAAACUUCUGUUGUUUCCACCUUCUAACCGUCAUCAGUAAAGCUGCUGUGAACCUUCGCA